Molecule: small RNA, 472 nt
Filed under: Arabidopsis thaliana (thale cress)
Lineage: Eukaryota; Viridiplantae; Streptophyta; Magnoliopsida; Brassicales; Brassicaceae
Description: ATSL224720
Source: RNAcentral
UUUUUAAUUUUUGUAUUUCAUCAAAUAUCGCUCUUUACUUGUUUUUGAAUUAUAAUCGGCAAAACGGAUUUGGUAGAAUCAACAAGGAAAGAAGACCCUUUUGAGCUUGACUCUAUUCUGAUUUUGUGAAAUAUGUGAAAAAGUGUAGGAUAAGUGAAAACUUCAACGCAAAUGAAAUGUUAAUAUCAUGUAUGUUUACAAUCUUACAAUUAUAGAGCAAACCCCAGCUUUUUAUUCAAGCAACUUUGUUCUCUCCCUUUGAUUAUUUGUGAGCUAAGAGAGGAGUGAAUUUGUCUAAAUCCCUUAGUACAAAUUCAUUGUUUGAUUACAGAAUCAACAAUUGGCGCGCCAGGUAGGGGAAUAUAAACAAAUUUUCUCUACGCUCCUUUAAUCAAAGCAAGCAUGGUUCAAAUCGUCAUCGACCCCGUCAUUCCUCCAGUCAACGAUGAUGGAACGGAAUCAAGUCUCCUCC